This 440-nucleotide ribosomal RNA is filed under the name Shuttleworthella satelles. RNAcentral's name for it is "bacterial SSU rRNA". It matches the Rfam family "Bacterial small subunit ribosomal RNA", at positions 28 to 450 of the family's 1533-position model. The record is from RNAcentral. Lineage: Bacteria; Bacillati; Bacillota; Clostridia; Lachnospirales; Lachnospiraceae.
GAUGAACGCUGGCGGCGUGCUUAACACAUGCAAGUCGAACGAGAAAUGAUAUUACGAUCUCUUCGGAGUGACGGUUUUAUUUCGAGUGGCGGACGGGUGAGUAACGCGUGAGCAACCUGCCCUAUACCGGGGGAUACCAGUUGGAAACGACUGUUAAUACCGCAUAAGCGCACGAUAAGACAUCUUGUUGUGUGAAAAACUCCGGUGGUAUAGGAUGGGCUCGCGUAUGAUUAGCCAGUUGGCGGGGUAAAGGCCCACCGAAGCGACGAUCAUUAGCCGACCUGAGAGGGCGACCGGCCACAUUGGGACUGAGACACGGCCCAAACUCCUACGGGAGGCAGCAGUGGGGAAUAUUGCACAAUGGGCGAAAGCCUGAUGCAGCGACGCCGCGUGAGUGAGGAAGUAUUUCGGUAUGUAAAGCUCUAUCAGCAGGGAAGAAA